CGUAUGUGAGCACCUUCGUUAUGGAUUUGUUUAUUAUGGAAAUCCUAAUUUCAGUUACUCUGCUGUAAACCAGAGUAACUCUGAUGAUUUCGGGAACUUCACUGAGUCACUUAUCUUGUGGUAUGGUAUCUGUGAAAGUCACCCUCGUUCAGAUCACAUGCUGAAGACUUAAAUCUAACGGGUCGAGCUUUUUCAUUACAUUUCAUUCUGCAACCAGAUACUAUAACAUGUGUAUAGACUUUUCAAAAGGGUUUACUUAAAAUGAUUGCUGCAAGAUAUAAAUAUGAGAUUCAUUGUUCAGAAGACCUCUGUAGAGCACUGCUGGCAUGUGACACUGGUUGGACAUCAUCAUCAUUCUUGCUAUUUAUGUAUUCCUGAUGAACGGGAUUUCAAUGGAGACUGCUUGCUGAGUCCCUCCCCAGAAUGGCUGCAUAACCCAGCUGUUGCAUGCACAAAAGAGGAAAACCAAUCCUAUUCCAUAAGAGGGUGA
This 490-nucleotide long non-coding RNA is filed under the name Struthio camelus australis. RNAcentral describes it as "lncRNA (ENSSCUG00000004154.1)". Lineage: Eukaryota; Metazoa; Chordata; Aves; Struthioniformes; Struthionidae. The record is from RNAcentral.